CACGUAGGGCGCGAGCGUUGUCCGGAAUUAUUGGGCGUAAAGAGCUCGUAGGCGGCCUGUUGCGUCCGCUGUGAAAGCCCGGGGCUUAACCCCGGGUCGGCAGUGGAUACGGGCAGGCUAGAGGUAGGUAGGGGAGAAUGGAAUUCCCGGUGUAGCGGUGAAAUGCGCAGAUAUCGGGAGGAACGCCGGUGGCGAAGGCGGUUCUCUGGGCCUUACCUGACGCUGAGGAGCGAAAGCGUGGGGAGCGAACAGG
This 253-nucleotide ribosomal RNA is filed under the name uncultured bacterium. Its description in RNAcentral is "partial 16S ribosomal RNA". It matches the Rfam family "Bacterial small subunit ribosomal RNA", at positions 524 to 776 of the family's 1533-position model. The record is from RNAcentral.